CCUACGGGUGGCAGCAGUGGGGAAUAUUGCACAAUGGGGGAAACCCUGAUGCAGCGACGCCGCGUGAGCGAAGAAGUAUCUCGGUAUGGAAAGCUCUAUCAGCAGGGAAGCAAAUGACGGUACCUGACUAAGAAGCCCCGGCUAACUACGUGCCAGCAGCCGCGGUAAUACGUAGGGGGCAAGCGUUAUCCGGAUUUACUGGGUGUAAAGGGAGCGCAGGCGGCGCGGUAAGUCUGAUGUGAAAGCCCGGGGCUCAACCCCGGGACUGCAUUGGAAACUGUCGUGCUGGAGUGUCGGAGGGGCAAGGGGAAUUCCUAGUGUAGCGGUGAAAUGCGUAGAUAUUAGGAGGAACACCAGUGGCGAAGGCGGCUUACUGGACUGUAACUGACGUUGAGGCGCGAAGGCGUGGGGAGCAAACAGGAUUAGAUACCCGAGUAGUC
RNAcentral lists this ribosomal RNA (440 nucleotides) under uncultured bacterium. Its description in RNAcentral is "partial 16S ribosomal RNA". It matches the Rfam family "Bacterial small subunit ribosomal RNA", at positions 338 to 795 of the family's 1533-position model. The record is from RNAcentral.